Molecule: transfer RNA, 105 nt
Filed under: Blepharis furcata
Lineage: Eukaryota; Viridiplantae; Streptophyta; Magnoliopsida; Lamiales; Acanthaceae
Description: partial tRNA-His
Source: RNAcentral
AUGAUUCAAUCUUUUGUCUUACAAUUUCUAAAAAACCAAAAUAUUUAAAUCAAAUAAAAAAAAUAUUGUGAAGUAAAUUCAAGGGUUUUAAAAGUAGAAAACAUA